Molecule: ribosomal RNA, 506 nt
Filed under: uncultured bacterium
Lineage: Bacteria
Description: partial 16S ribosomal RNA
Rfam family: Bacterial small subunit ribosomal RNA
Source: RNAcentral
AGUGAACGCUGGCGGUAGGCCUAACACAUGCAAGUCGAACGGCAGCACAGGAGAGCUUGCUCUCUGGGUGGCGAGUGGCGGACGGGUGAGGAAUACAUCGGAAUCUACUUUUUCGUGGGGGAUAACGUAGGGAAACUUACGCUAAUACCGCAUACGACCUACGGGUGAAAGCAGGGGAUCUUCGGACCUUGCGCGGUUGAAUGAGCCGGUGUCGGAUUAGCUAGUUGGCGGGGGAAAGGCCCACCAAGGCGACGAUCCGUAGCUGGUCUGAGGGGAGGAUCAGCCACCCUGGAACUGAGACACGGUCCAGACUCCUACGGGAGGCAGCAGUGGGGAAUAUUGGACAAUGGGCGCAAGCCUGAUCCAGCCAUACCGCGUGGGUGAAGAAGGCCUUCGGGUUGUAAAGCCCUUUUGUUGGGAAAGAAAUCCAGCUGGUUAAUACCCGGUUGGGAUGACGGUACCCAAAGAAUAAGCACCGGCUAACUUCGUGCCAGCCGCCGCCGUAA